Molecule: ribosomal RNA, 457 nt
Filed under: uncultured bacterium
Lineage: Bacteria
Description: bacterial SSU rRNA
Rfam family: Bacterial small subunit ribosomal RNA
Source: RNAcentral
UACGGAAGGCAGCAGUGGGGAAUAUUGCACAAUGGGCGAAAGCCUGAUGCAGCUAUGCCGCGUGUAUGAAGAAGGCCUUAGGGUUGUAAAGUACUUUCAUCGGGGAGGAAAAAACAAAACUAAUAAUUUUAUUUCUUGACGUUACCCGAAAAAGAAGCACCGGCUAACUCCGUGCCAGCAGCCGCGGUAAUACGGAGGGUGCUAGCGUUAAUCAGAAUUACUGGGCGUAAAGAGCACGUAGGUGGUUUUUUUAAGUCAGAUGUGAAAUCCCUGGGCUUAACCUAGGAACUGCAUUUUGAAACUGAAAUACUAGAGUAUCGUAGAGGGAGGUAGAAUUCUAGGUGUAGCGGUGAAAUGCGUAGAUAUCUGGAGGAGUACCUGUGGCGAAAGCGGCCUCCUAAACGAAUACUGACACUGAGGUGCGAAAGCGUGGGGAGCGAAACAGGGAUUAGAUACC